AUGCCAGAGAUGACCCAGCCCAGCGAUGUGCUAACACCUCCUUCCACUGCCAGCGCUUCCAUGGAUGGCAAUGUAGUGGCCAUCAUCAUAGCUGCAACAGUUGCUUCAUCUGUAUUUGUAGUGGCGAUAUUGGUGCUGCUACUGCUCUUGUACUACCGGGACCCUCUGUGCUGCCAGUUCCUCUGCUCCUGCCGUUUCUUUCAGAGUCCCAGCCAAUAUGAUUGUCCUCCUCCAUACUUCAGCAGUAACCAGAGGCUGGUGGGACCCCAAUCGGGAGCACAGCAAUUGGAGAGCCCUGCCGAGAAUCCUGGGGUGCAGGGAGAUGAACUAUUCUGCGUUGGACCCCCCAGCAGCUAUCAGCUCCCUCCCUGGGAGCACCUCCGCUUGCCAAGCUACGAGAGCGUGCGGAAGAAGGAUCGGCAGCGGGAGAUCCAUCAGCUGAUUGCCGAGAGGUUUGGACUGUGGGUAGACCCCUCCCAGGAGGUGAGUGGAAAGCUGCAGAAGCACAGCAAUGGUCCUAUCCUGUUUGCCUAUAGGCCAUCCCACAGCACUCUGCAGUGCACUAGCAGAGGACUCUGUUCUGUCUCUGCAGUUGCCUUUCUCUGAUAGCAUGUCUCUCUGGGAAAGCACUCCCGGGUUCCAGGAAAUUCCCUCUGGUUACAUUUCUGCAGGUUAAUGAUUGAUCCCUCCCCAUUGCAUCUGCAGAGCGCUAGGAGACGGGACAGGGCUGCCGGGCUGAACCAUCUGUUUGAAGACU
RNAcentral lists this long non-coding RNA (757 nucleotides) under Gopherus agassizii (Agassiz's desert tortoise). RNAcentral's name for it is "lncRNA (ENSGAGG00000014296.1)". Lineage: Eukaryota; Metazoa; Chordata; Testudines; Testudinidae. The record is from RNAcentral.